Molecule: long non-coding RNA, 401 nt
Filed under: Carica papaya (papaya)
Lineage: Eukaryota; Viridiplantae; Streptophyta; Magnoliopsida; Brassicales; Caricaceae
Description: long non-coding RNA (CPAP_LNC009939)
Source: RNAcentral
UCCACAGUACCACACGGCACCACCGUAGUAUGAUUCGUUACCCCAACCACAGUACUAUCAGGCACCGCCACUGUACAAUCUGAAGCCCCCACCGUAUCAACAAGGACCACCACAGGGCCCCCUAGUCUACCAUCAGCCUGGCCCAGUCCCUUUUCCACGGGACCCAGUUCAUUCCAUGAUUGACCCGGCCUAUAUAAAGAGGUACAAGAGAUUAAACCCAUCCACUUUUGCAGGGGAGUCUUCUUUUGAAGAUGCUAAGUACUAGUUGGCAAAGACAGAGAAGGCCUUUAAAACCUUAGGGGUGACUUCUGAGCAAAAGGUCACCCUUGCAACCUACAUGCUAGUGGGAGAAGCAGAUCGCUGGUGGGAACUCAAGUAGACCACCAGAAGCAGACUGCUGG